Molecule: long non-coding RNA, 1418 nt
Organism: Eriocheir sinensis (Chinese mitten crab)
Lineage: Eukaryota; Metazoa; Arthropoda; Malacostraca; Decapoda; Varunidae
Exons: 4
Source: RefSeq, a predicted model, not a curated record
AAAUAAUGAUAAUGUGGAAAUUCUAAUAAUUUUCACGCUGACAGCUGUUCUGAACUUGCUAACUGCAUGCCUCCCCUCCUCCCGCGGCAAGAGGCCGAAUGGCCUACACACGGCAGCUCCAGAUUCCUCCCCAUUACCACCUGUCAGCCUCGUCCAUGUAGCUAUCCAGUCUACUCUUAAAACAAGCUAUCGUCCCUGCACUCACUAUGUGAUUGCUGAGUCUAUUCCAUUCCCCCACCACCCUAUUAUUAAACCAAUGCCUGCCCAUUUCCCUCCUAAAUCUAUACUUUUUUAAUUUAAGUCAAUUACUGCAUGUUAUAUCUUGCCAAACAUCUUAUGCAGCGCGUCCGGCACCCAGACCAGGAUAUAGUAAGUUUGGAACUGGAGUCACAGGCCUGAAGGGGCCUCUUCCAGAAGUCAUCUGUGAGUAUCUGUGAGUUAAUCAGCAUAUCUCCACUCUUUCAUCCCUUACACUGAUAAACUGGAACAGCCUUCCAUUGUCCGCAUUACCUCCUGCCUAUAAUUUGACCUUCAAGAAGAGUGUAUCAAGACUCUACUUUUGUCUGUUUGGGAGUGAUCCGAACACGUCCGAUAUCAUCCAAGAGAAUGUGGCAGCUGAAGGGGGAGAGGCCAAGAAAGAGGCCAAGGGUGAAGACAUUUAGCCACCCCCCCUGAAGUACAUGGCAUCAUUCAACCCUCUUGGUGAGCUACAGGAAUGUGCUUCCCAUUGCAGUGCACCAGCUCCAUGUACUGAUUUUGGUGUGAACUUGAUGGGGUUGGAGGAAACUUGACUCGGCCAUCAAGCUCACCACAAUAUAACAUGAAAAGUGAAAAUUGCUGCACACAACAGUCUGUCGUCUGCACCGGGAGGCAAGGCAGCUCAAAGCCCAGGCUGUUACAAAUCCUGGGCAGUUUUUGCCCAGAGCCAGCAAUUUUUUAGAUCCAAUAGGGAUGGAUUUUUUAUGAGGUCAGGUUCAACAUGCUGCAAGAUGCCAAGAUCUAAGCCUAGUAGGAGAUAUGGGUUACAAGAGAGGAGGUUUGCUCUGGCCUUAUACUAUCAAAGUCCAAAUGCUAAUAGAUUUCUGAGCACAGUAUUUCACUUGUCUUCAGUUUCAACACUUCAAUCAUGACUCAGGGGUAUUUCAGUACAUGUUGGCUGGAGCAAACAGACUCUGACAGCCCUGCAGCAAAGAGCACAGGCUUUGUCAAAAGAAGAGAAACUUCGUGGGAUUUGCCAUUAUUUAGUAUUACUCUUGUUACGCCAAGAAUUUUUUUCCAUAUACUUUGCCAAAUAUUGCAAGUAAUGCACCAUUGUUGGGCUUGCUUGUUAUAAAUCAUAUCUUGUUCAAUUAACAAGCUUUGGGUGUCUGCCACUUUCCAGUUGUAAUGCAAGGAAUCAUUUAUCUUCCCUGCUAGAU